UCCUGCCCAGCUACAUCAGAUCAGCCAACAACUUUGUAAUUGCUAAAAACAGCCUGUUGAUUUUCCUCCUAAGUGCUUCAGCUGGCCUGGCUGAGCUUUCUCUUUUCCACUGUCUUGAGAUGUUUCUCUCAUUGUGCACUACGCCGUAUUUUUAUGGUCAACAUAUCCUAUAGCAAACAAUUUCAGGCUGAUGGCGGAAGGGAGAUUGGAUUCAGAUCGGAGAUUUGAGCCCCGGAUGGGGAGCCAGGAACGCCUCAGUUCCUGGACCAGAUCUGCCACUAAAUCAGGAAUCCACAUAAAGCAAAGCCACAUGACGAGCAACUGCAGGAUGAUUUGAUUUUUGUGUGCAGAGGAGGAAGCGAGUGUUUGAACACGGCUCUCGCCUUGGUGCGCCCGCUGCAACUGGAGCCGCCAUUACAGGACUGCAGCAGGAGCUUGCUGCAUCUUGGCUUUCUACUUAGAGUGAGAAUGAGAGGAAUUGAGGAUCCCCCUGUUCUGCGCAAAGCCCAGGAGAAGGAAGAGAUGCAGGAGGAGUUGCCUGUCUCCAGCCACUGCCCAGGCACAGGGGACAGAGGCACACCCACAGCCACUGUGGCGCAGCUGAGUUCCUCCACAGCCAGAAAUGGUGGGAGAAAACUCUGGUGCUGAGUCACAUUUCCUUCCCAUGGGCUCAUGCUGGGAUGGAUGGAUGCGCCUGCCCUAUGCCUGCAGGGCCUCACUGCAUGGCUCCUGCUGGGUGAGCGUGCUGGACUGAUCGAGGUGGAUGCAGUGGUCCCCGUCAGAUGUGUGCCAAAUUGAAAUGCCAGCAGCUGUGUGAGCAGCGGGAUAAUCGUAUCUGCUGCUUCUCUCUUCCAAGUCCUGGCAUUCCCAUUUCAGCAAUGGUGUGUCCAUGCUCAGCUCUGCGGGAGGAAAUCCAUUGACCGAAGCCAUGCUGACGCCUGGGGGAUGCGGUUACAUGUUCAUCAGUCACCUGUCUGACUGUGGACCCACUGGGAUGCAGAGCAAUAGGAGAGCAAUGGACUGUCCUCAAAGAGGGCCAUGAGCUGCACUGCCAGUGGGGAAGAACUGCUUCUGCUCAUCCGGGUAAUGUCGCUGUGUUGGCUGAAAAGUCUCCACUUGGUCCUGAGCGGUGCCACCUGCAGAUCCCUGCACCCACUGGAACAAAAUAAAAAGGUGUCGUAUGUGGUUUCAUGGCAGCAGGGAGGUGACAGCACACAUGGGCUGAGAAGCAGAAAUCCCCUUCAACAGCAGAGACUAUCUCUGCCAGCAGGUAGAGAAGAGGUUGUUUGUCUGAAGAAAGAAGGGUGUGGUGGAAAUACUUCAUGCCAGUCAAGUCAACCAAAAUACUACCUGAGUUACAAAGCAUGCUGGAAAACAAAAUUAAACAGAAGAUCUGGGCCCCACCUGUGCUCUCCCAGGAGAGACUGAGAGAAAAGGAGUUCUGGGAGCUGGGAACACACAGCUCCCUGCAGCAGCUGCACUAUGGAAUUCACCCUGGAUGAAUGGGAAUGCCAAUGUCUUCACCUCCUGAAGAGAGGACACAGCUCUCAGACUGAAUUAGCCACAGCUGGAUAGGUUGUUUUGAAAUCUCCACAAUUUUCAGACCUGGAAGAUUUUUCCAUCAUGCUGGCCUGGGGUAGGCAUUUGGUGGGUGAGUAAACUAUAAUUUGGUUUGUUUUGCCUUAUGAAGUAAGUGUAGAAAAUACACCAAAGUAGCUGGUCACAUAUUUGGACCUGGGCUUCUCACGAAAGUUCUGCAAAACCCUCUCAAAUGUCUGAAUAUUUACUAAGUAGGUCACGAAAUAUUUUCCAACAACAAAAAUACAAAUACAAAAAUACAAUAGAGUAAUCCUAUUGGGAUGUAGUUAUGUGCUAAUGACUUUAUUUUCUUCUUCCUCCUGUUCAGGCAGUAACAUGCAAAGUGACCACAGCACUGUUGUGAAAUUGCUGAUUAACCUUUUGACUCUGACAAUUGGGACUUCUCUUAACACCAAUUGGUAAUGCAAAAGACCAUUAGUAGUUAAUAUUGGGACACCCCACCUCCAGAUGCCAAAAGGUUAAUGAAAAAGCAAGUAUCUUGCUUUUACUGGGAAACUUGGAAACCUUCCCACCAAACAUUUCAUUUUUUGUGAUAAACAAGCCAGACCGCUUCAGCUGAGAAAGACGGGUGUUUUGCUAAUGUGUACAGCUGUUAAUUGAAAAAGAUUCUGUUAUGCCUGUUCUUCUGGACAUAGAUAAAAGAGAGAUUUGUUGGUGAACUUUAGUUGGUCCUGAACACCCCUUUGUCAAAAUACACUGCUCAAUAAUAACGCUUUGUUCUGUCUGUAACAGCCACGGAAGGAUUUUGAGUGGAAUACUCAUUUUCUUUAAGUCAUAUCUGCCAGUGAUCAUUCUUGGCUUAAGAUCAGCUGCCAUUUAUGUGUUUUAUGAAAAUAUAACACCAGUUUUAUGCUCAAAACUAUUCUUUUUUAGGUAAAAGCUUCAGCACAAACUGGUUCCCCAUAUGUACCAUAAAUGCUAUUUAUCACAGGUUUUGGUCUUUAAAACAGAAUGAUAAUGUUAAAACAUUUUCAUUACCCUUUCCUUACAGCUAUCAUUCACAAACCAUCUUUUAUAAUUAUGGUACUAGGACAUUUACAUAACUGGGAAAAAGGUCCUUAAACUACAUUUCUAUUAUGUUUGGCACUUGUGUGAAAGGAUAUUAUAUUCAUGUGCAUUAGAGAUUGCUUAUAAAAGAUCAAGACAAUAAUAGCAGAUCAGACGAUAAAGGUUCCCUUUUCUCCUCCCAGACAGGCUGUCUCUGACAGAAGAAUACAGUUCAUCAAAAGUGUCUGCAGGUUGUCAAACUCAGUGAGAUUUGGGGACACUCGGAGGCUGUCAUGGCCAACAAGAAGAUUUUCUGUAGGGUUCUGCCAUCAUUCACCCUCAGGAAAUAAUCACUCACUACAUUCUGCAUGCUCUCAUGAUAGAGCUCUAUUUGAGAGAAAAGAGCCAUUUUAUCAAAGGACAAUAUAUCCCUUCUCUUGGUCCAUGCAGCUUCCAUUAUCAGACCAUAAUAAAUCAUAUUUAUGUUCUCAGUUAAUAAGACUGAUUACAAUGCAGGUUACAGGCAUGGGAAAAGCAAAGCAGGUGAAAAGAUGUUUUAAUGAAAAUAUGAUAAGCAAACAGCUUCUUGUGAACAUUUCAGGCUGUUAUUUGUAAUGAUCACAGGCAAUUUUUGAUACAUCUUCUUUAGCAAUGGUUUAAGCUGCAUAAAUUGGCUUGCCACUUUAUACGUCGAAAUAGGAAGAAUCCCAGUGUCCUUCUUAUGUUGUCUAGAAUCAUUAUAUACAUUAUAAGCAUAAAAUGAGUUUAAUGUAUGUGCUUUGAAAAGAUGGGGAAAACAGAAAAUCAGGGAGGACUGAUUUUAAUGCUGCUCAAAAUGAUUUUGAAAUUUUCUGCACAUCUUUGUUACUAACGGUGCAUUUUCCAUGAAAUUUAGGGAUGACAUGUGGUGCUUUCAUCUCCUUAAAAUUAAUAUACUUCUCUUUCUGUUUUUCUCAGUUUCUUCAAAGUUCUUUUUAGAACACUGUGCAAAGAGACAGAGAGAAAAUUCUCCACUCGAUGUGUGAACAUAUCUGUUAUUAAUGCUGGGGGGGAGUUAAGUGUGUGCUUCUAGAGGAGAAUAUACCCCUGCGUUAAACACUGAAAUCAACCCUAUCAAAAAGGUGCAAGGAUAUUUAGCUGCAGCACACCUGAUGCAUUCAAGGGCCAAAUUCCUUAGAAUCUUUUAAAGUGAUCAAGAUCUCUUUUGUUAAGAGCGCUCCAAUGAUUUCAGAAUAUAACUGUACUUAAGUAGCCGAGGAAGUGUCUUGCUCUUGUCUCGUGAAAAGCUUUCUUUUAUGUUUUAUUGUUGUUUUCUUUUUUGCUGUAGUCAUUUGGUUUAUGUUUAGCAUCAUACUUUCAAGACAAAGUUAAAAAUUUAAAGAAUAAUUUCUUCCUGCUAGCAGAUAAUGCUGACUAAGUAUUUCAAAAUCUACAGCACUUGCAGAAUGCAAGCAUUAUGCUUAAAAUGUAUAUAAUGAUUCCAGACAAUAUGAGAAGGACACUGGGAUUCUUCCUACUUUGAUAUAUAAAGUGGUGAGCAAACGCAGAAGUCUCCAUGGUGUUGUGUGUCUGUAGGAGCUGUUCUGGUCACUGAUACUUCUAAAGCUCCCUUAAACAAAUGUUAAAGCUUUGUAAUGGGCCUGGCAAUGGAGAAUGACCAUGAAAUUCCCUUAACCCUUUUAGGGCACUUCAGCAGGAGAAGUGAUCACACAAGAAACAGUAAACUGCGCUUCAAAGGCAGCAUCCUGAUAUGACAACAGAUGUAGAUAAUGCACUUCAUGAUGAAACUGCUUGAUACAGAGAAAAACACGUUGUAACUGCCUUCACCCUGAAAGGGGUUUAAAAAUGCUGCCUGCCAACUCCACAAAAAACAGAGCUGCUAUUUCAGUUAAAGGCCAGUGGAUUGUAUUUUUCGUGUCAGUUUUCACUAACCUCAAACAUCACUGUUAUGACAGACUGUCAUCCAACCAAGCCAGCACUGUGGUGCCAUUCAGGCAAGAAAGAAGAAAGCAAACACAAAGGAAACUUAGAAGUCCGAGCAGUAAGAGCGGGUGUCUGUGAGUGCACUUUUGUGCAGCGAUACUGAUUACUGAAAAUGAAACACUUAAAAGAAAACAAACCCAAAAAAGUGAUUUCUGAGCCAUUGGUGUUUUCUUGCCUGGCAAUUUCUCUUUGUUCUGUUUCAUGACAUCAGCCUCAGUGGUUGAAAGGGUGUUCUGGGCCAGAUGUCAAUCACUAUGUCUGACAUAAACAAAAAUAGCUAAAAAGACAUGCCAGCAUCUUCCUUUUGUUUUCCCAUUAGCUCCAUUUUUCUUUUCAGAGGCUGACAAAAAAUUACUGCCUCCGAGUGAAUUCAGUAAUGUCACUAUAUAUCUAAUAUCUAGGAGACCUUUUGUUUUAGCUUUACUGGGCUUAACCACAAAAGACACUUGACAUUGACAAAGAGUCUGUCAAAUACACAAUGAUCAGUGCAGUGAAAUCUCUCAUGACAGAAGGGCACUAUUCUGCACCCCCAGCCUGCAGCAGCCUAUCUGAGUAAAAUGUGCUGGAGCACAUGCAGCAGCUGAACCAUUGCAGAGCAGGCCAUAAGCUGAGAUGUGUCUUGUUUAAAGUGUCAUAGUAUAUUAGUGUAAUUAAAACCGCCAAAAGAAUAGAAAAGAUAGAUGGAAAUGUUACAUUACUUGUUUCUAGAGAUUAACCUCCAGCCAGAACUGAAAUACAGGGACACAUUUUGCAUGUCUUAGAGCUCUGAUAUGGAAGAAAACAAGCCUGAGUGUAUGUCUCUUGAAGUGUGAGACAUGAAGUCAUAGUUCCUGUAUUUACACAAUAAAGCAGAAACAGCGCUUCAGACAGGCACGCUGUUUUCUCUCUGAUUACAGCUCCCGUUGUGGCUGUACUCUGCAAAGCAGCUGUAUCAUCUCUCAGCUACUUCCCUUUUACUCUCACUGCCUUCGUGCUUGGAAGGUCUUGAGGACCCUUGGGCCAACAGAUGUGCUGGUGUCAAUGCCUUCUGCUCCCUUGGCAUCUGCCAGCAUUGCGUGGGCCCAGCCUAGAGGCAGAGCACCCUGUCCCUGUGGUGUCUGCAGAAGACACAGCUCAGCUCCAGACUCAGCAACACCCAGCUAGGAAGAUGUUUGAAGAAUGGCUUCAGUCUGACCUUUAUAUACCAGGCUGCAUGCUUGCUUCUCUGUUGACUCUAUAGAUAAAACUGCAUGGCUUUCUGAAAUUGACUCUGAAAAUUAUGUUCCCAGAACUGCAUGUUUUCCUUCCCAUGCCUCAUUACCUGUGAUAACUAUUCAAGCCUAACUAGUUACGAUCUCUGUUCUAACCAUGAGGCAAGUUAUAUCUGGUGGUGAAAAACCCUUGGAGUUUUUAUGGACCUGUUCAGCUGUGUUGGCUGAACGUUGGUUUAUCCAGUAUCUGGAGAGGACCUCAUCUGGCUUCAGCAGUUCUGAAGCAUACAAAAGCAGCGUGGUUUUCUUCUAAUGUAAGCCUUACAUUCAAGGAGAAGAUGCAUUAAUCAGAUUCAUCUCAGUGACUGUGAAAUUCCUGAGGAUGUUAUUACUUUCAAGUCAGAUUAACGGAGUAAUUUCCAGACAACCAUGCUACCAGAAUACAUGAUACUACUCUUAAAGUGGACCUCAAAAACUUUGAGAAAGAAAAUGAUUCCAUCUUUUUUGAUCAGGUUCUUCCUCUACAGGAGUUCCUGCAGCUACAGGACCAGGAGAUGUCCGAGGUCAAGAAAAGGUUAAAGUUGUUCACUGCUUUCAAGCUCUGGCCUUAGAAGUUAAUUCAGUGCUGUGCUGCGAGAGCUACAGAGUAAAUCCUUGGAACAGUGAAUUGCUGGUUUGAUAUCAAGCUCACGUCAACAUUUCUAUCAGAAAGAAUCACCAUAAUCACCAGAUAUAUUAGCAGAAACUGCUCCUUCCCAUUGACCACAUACGCCAAAAUCCUUGGAAACUCUUAAGCCGUGGACUUCCCCUGAAGACAUACAGAGAAAAUGGCUCAAGCGAACACUCCUCCAUUCCUUCAGUGGAGCCCAGGUCAGCUGUGACAAGCAUCUGCUCUGUGGGUAGGUGCAAAAUACACGACAAAGAUAUCGGCCGUGGAUCCCUUCUGUAAACGAUGACCUCAUCCGGAGGUUAUGGGACCUUCACGAGGAUACCAGUCGUACUCCUCCAUGGCGAUGUGUUACAGACUCUUUUUGGACACCACACCAAAGUGCAGCUACGAUGUUAAAAGAAAAAUGUUCCUUUGACAAAUGAAAUCUUUAAAAUGGCAACAAGCAAGGAAAAAGUCAGCUCUGAGUGGAAAACAUUUAAUAUGUUUUGAUGAUUUCUUAUCUCAGACAGAAGAGAAGACAAGUUGAUUUUCUCUGCUGAAACUUUUUGAAGUGAGUUCUGACUGAAAAGAUGUGGUGGUGUUUUAACAAAAACAUAUUGUUAUAAAACAUGAUGUAUGCUCAGAAGUAUUAAUGUGUACCUCUCUGCUUCAGGUUUGAACAUUUCAGUCCAGUGAACUAGCCUGUUCCAUUUAUUUUUUAAAUUCUUAUCCAGUUGAUCUUUUUUUUGUUGUUCUUUAAGUUUUCAGUAGUUCAAUGGCUACUUUUAUCUCUGAUUUAGGCUUUCAAACAGCACCAAACUCUGCCGUCCCAUCCUGUAAUCUGUCCAUUUAUUAUGGUGACUGGUGAACAGAGGCAACAUGUUAGUGCAAGCACUGUAAAAAUAUCUGUGGAGAAAACAUUCUUUCACUCUAAAGGAUAAGUUCCAUAAGAAUGUAUAUUCUCCAGUAUUUGCAAAAGUACGGUACGGAUUUUUCUUGUUAAAGGUAGCAAUGUCUGAAUCGCAAAUAAUUUCACGUUUAUAUGAGAGACAAUAUAUCAUUUUACAGAUCUGUAAUCAUGGAAAUCAAUGGUCAGUAUCCAUUUAAGAAAAUCGAAAUAAUUUAACUGAUUAUUUAAACAAUGCCUUGUUAGACUACGGAAUUUAAAGUCCUCUUUCAAAAUGAAGGUUGUUUUAAGUAGCGAACUUAUUAUUACAUACUACAUUCUAGUGGCACGUAAACACUUCUGAUUUAAAACAUGAAUUCCGUGUAAGUUCAAACUGAUGUCUUUGACUUUAGUUACAGAACUCAAUUUCAGGACUUUCUGCUGCUGGUGGCUGUAUAUCAGUUCUUCCAAUAGGGAUGUGCUCAGGACAAAUUAGUGAACGUAAUUUUAGCUGUAUGAGGUCAUUACAAAUACAGCCUUAGCUCUUCCUAGAGUGGACUUCAUUGUUAAUAUAAAUAUAUAUCUAUAGUUACUGACAUUUAUAUUAUUUGGCUCCUGUCCUAAGUUAUGGAUACAGUGAUGAUAAAAGCCCUUACCUAAGUGAGUCAUGCUUACUAAUUACUUCCAUGGUACUGGGUUCCUGUAAAUAAAGUUACUCAUGUAUUUAUAAGCAAGUCAAAAUUUAUACAUAUGUUUCUAAGAGUGAGUUAUCUUUCUCUCUGGGGCAAACAGCACAGUCUGCUGUUUGGAAAAGAACGCUGAGAGUAAGGACAUCCAGGGUGCUUCCUCACUUCUGCGAGGGUGCGUGCUCUCCUCUGCCAUUGGAUAUCCAACUAAAAUACUUAAUUUGGUCACAUUUUUUAAACUGUUUAAGACCCUUCUGCAUUACUUCAAGGUAGGAAAUGGCUGUUGAUUUUUCCUCGCUGUUUCCAAAGAGGCUGCGGUAAGAGGGUUUCAGUCUAAUUGUUUGCUCUAAAGAUGUAGCGUUCAAGACACAAAGCCUAGCAGUGUGACGUGGAAGAUCUCAAGACAAAGCAGCAGCCUCAACAUCUCUCUCUAAUGAGAACAGGAAAAGACAAUUGAGAUCCCGUAGGAAUGCAGUAUAUUUAGGAGAGAAGCAGAGCUCCUUUCACGAAUGGAGAGAGAACCCUGGUGAAUACUGGACUACCUGCUAUCUCUGGGUGUGACUAGGUGAGUGAAGGAUUUGGAUCACAGCCUGCAACGUUUUCCAGACAUUUAGAGUGCAACUACUACAACUACUACGCCAGCAAUUUUAUGCCUUCCUUUCCCUGACUCCAACAGUAUGCGAGAUAAGCAGCCAGAUUUUCUUCUGCAUUGUGUUUUUUUAUCCAUUCAGCCAAAAUUAACAGUCUUCAAGGAUAAUGUAUGCCAAGCGAAUUUAAAUCUUGCGGACUCAAAUCGACCUAAAGUUGAUGGAUACAUUCAUGCCUACUGCUGAAAUCUACCAAUUACACAGAACUAUGCUAACUUACCAUAGAAACAUCUCAUCUAAUAGCACAGAUGAUGUUGAACUAACUAAUUACAUUAUGGCACAUAGACAAUGAAAAACAUAACGAAGAUGACAG
Molecule: long non-coding RNA, 8940 nt
Organism: Gallus gallus (chicken)
Lineage: Eukaryota; Metazoa; Chordata; Aves; Galliformes; Phasianidae
Source: Ensembl